ACCCCUGGCUGACCCCUGGCUGACCCCAUGACCCCUGGCUGACCCCACUGACCCCUGGCUGACCCCAUGACCCCUGGCUGACCCCACUGACCCCUGGCUGACCCCGUCUGUCCCCGCGGCGGCCGCAGAGGAGGAGGAGGUGGACAAGAUGAUGGAGCAGAAGGUUCGGGAGGAGCAGGAGCGGCGCCGGCGCAAGGAGCUGGAGGAGAGGAUGUCCCUGGAGGAGACCCGGGAACAGCUGCUGAAGCUGCAGGAGAAACUUGGGGCUCAAAAUUCCCAUUUCCCCCUUCAAAAUUCCCAUUUUUUCCCCCAAAAUUCCCAUUUUUUCCCCAAAAAUUCCCUUUUUUUCCCCAAAAUUCCCCCAUUUUUUCCCAAAAUUCCCAUUUUUCCCCCCAAUCCAGCUGCAGGAGAAACUUGGGGCUCAAAAUUCCCAUUUCCCCCUCCAAAAUUCCCAUUUUUUCCCCAAAAAUCCCCAUUUUUCCCCCAAUUUUUCACCGUUUUUCCCCAAAUUUUCACCAUUUUUUCCCAAAAUCCCCGUUUUUCACCCCAAUCCAGCUGCAGGAGAAGCUUGGGGCUCAAAAUUCCCAUUCCCCCUCCAAAAUUCACCAUUUUUCCCCCCAAAAUUCCCAUUUUUCCCUCAAAAAUCCCCAUUUUUUCCCCAAAUUUUCACCGUUUUUCCCCAAAUUUUCACCGUUUUUCCCCAAAUUUUCACCGUUUUUCCCCAAAUUUUCCCCAUUUUUUCCCAAAAUCCCCGUUUUUCACCCCAAUCCAGCUGCAGGAGAAACUUGGGGCUCAAAAUUCCCAUUUCCCCCUUAAAAAUUCCCAUUUUUUCCUUAAAAAUCCCCAUUUUUUCCCCCAAAAUCCCCAUUUCCCCCCAAAUUUUCACCGUUUUUCCCCAAAUUUUCACCGUUUUUCCCCAAAUUUUCACCAUUUUUUCCCAAAAUUCGCGUUUUUCACCCCAAUCCAGCUGCAGGAGAAACUUGGGGCUCAAAAUUCCCAUUCCCCCUCCAAAAUUCACCAUUUUUUCCCAUUCCCCCUCCAAAAUUCACCAUUUUUCCCCCCAAAAAUUCCCAUUUUUUCCCUAAAAAUCCCCAUUUUUUCCCCAAAUUUUCACCGUUUUUCCCCAGUUUUUCACCGUUUUUCCCCCAAAUUCCCCCAUUUUUUCCCAAAAUCCCCGUUUUUCACCCCAAUGCAGCUGCUGAAGCUGCAGGAGGAGAAACCCCCUCAAAAUUCCCAUUUUUUCCCCCAAAAUCCCCAUUUUUUCCCCAAAAAUCCCCAUUUCCCCUCAAAUUUUCACCGUUUUUCCCCAAAUUUUCACCGUUUUUCCCCAAAUUUUCACCAUUUUUUCCCAAAAUCCCCAUUUUUCACCCCAAUCCAGCUGCAGGAGAAACUUGGGGCUCAAAAUUCCCAUUCCCCCUCCAAAAUUCACCAUUUUUUCCCCAAAAAUCCCCAUUUUUUCCCCAAAUUUUCACCGUUUUUCCCCAAAUUUUCCCCCAUUUUUUCCCAAAAUCCCCGUUUUUCACCCCAAUGCAGCUGCUGAAGCUGCAGGAGGAGAAACCCCCUCAAAAUUCCCAUUUUUUCCCCCAAAAUCCCCAUUUUUUCCCCAAAAAUCCCCAUUUCCCCUCAAAUUUUCACCGUUU
Molecule: long non-coding RNA, 1640 nt
Filed under: Cyanistes caeruleus (blue tit)
Lineage: Eukaryota; Metazoa; Chordata; Aves; Passeriformes; Paridae
Description: lncRNA (ENSCCEG00000006069.1)
Source: RNAcentral